CCACACGACUCUCGGCAACGGAUAUCUCGGCUCUCGCAUCGAUGAAGAACGUAGCAAAAUGCGAUACCUGGUGUGAAUUGCAGAAUCCCGCGAACCAUCGAGUUUUUGAACGCAAGUUGCGCCCGAGGCCUUCUGGCCGAGGGCACGUCUGCCUGGGCGUCACGC
Molecule: ribosomal RNA, 165 nt
Filed under: Cymbopogon goeringii
Lineage: Eukaryota; Viridiplantae; Streptophyta; Magnoliopsida; Poales; Poaceae
Also listed under: 1 other name
Description: 5.8S ribosomal RNA
Rfam family: 5.8S ribosomal RNA
About the family: 5.8S ribosomal RNA (5.8S rRNA) is a component of the large subunit of the eukaryotic ribosome. It is transcribed by RNA polymerase I as part of the 45S precursor that also contains 18S and 28S rRNA.
Source: RNAcentral